This 492-nucleotide ribosomal RNA is filed under the name uncultured bacterium. Its description in RNAcentral is "partial 16S ribosomal RNA". It matches the Rfam family "Bacterial small subunit ribosomal RNA", at positions 29 to 507 of the family's 1533-position model. The record is from RNAcentral.
AGUGAACGCUGGCGGUAGGCCUAACACAUGCAAGUCGAACGGCAGCACAGUAAGAGCUUGCUCUUACGGGUGGCGAGUGGCGGACGGGUGAGGAAUACAUCGGAAUCUACUUUUUCGUGGGGGAAAACGUAGGGAAACUUACGCUAAUACCGCAUACGACCUACGGGUGAAAGCAGGGGAUCUUCGGACCUUGCGCGAUUGAAUGAGCCGAUGUCGGAUUAGCUAGUUGGCGGGGUAAAGGCCCACCAAGGCGACGAUCCGUAGCUGGUCUGAGAGGAUGAUCAGCCACACUGGAACUGAGACACGGUCCAGACUCCUACGGGAGGCAGCAGUGGGGAAUAUUGGACAAUGGGCGCAAGCCUGAUCCAGCCAUACCGCGUGGGUGAAGAAGGCCCUCGGGUUGUAAAGCCCUUUUGUUGGGAAAGAAAAGCAGCAGGUUAAUACCCCGCUGUUCUGACGGUACCCAAAGAAUAAGCACCGGCUAACUUCGUG